GAUUGAAACCACCCUUUGUACUCACACCCUUCACAGGGAACAGUUUAGUGACGUGGUGGAGACAGAAGCUGCCUGCAGCUGAUUUGAAAGAGAAUACGAAAUGAGGACUCUGGGACAGAGAAGAAAAUACUCUCAGGAGAACGAGAGAUGAAGAAAUAGAGCUACGGAAGGAUGAGCAUGUAAAGGAAGAAUUGUUUUCCCAGGAUGGGAGAUAUUACACCAUACUUGUAAGAAAGACAGACGGAUGGGACAGAUGGAGAGUGUGACGGACAGAGUGUCUGGGAGAGCAAACACAGCAGUCUGGAACCACUGAACACACAUCAGCCAACAUGGGAAGCAGACAUCUGGCCCAGGAGAGGAAUCAAAACAGGAAGUAAAGAAUCCUGGCAAACACCGCCUUAGCCAGGUGAUGAAGGUCAACCUCAACCCAGUGAUAAGUCAUGUAUCCCCAACAUGCACCAAUGUGAUGUCAUGAGAAUGGAAGUUCAUCUCUGUGGUCACCCUCCCCAAAAUGCACAACCUCCGUUUAAUCAUGAGAAAAGCAUCCAGCAAGAGACAAAAUACCUGAAGAGCUUUUGUCAAAAGAAAGUCAUCAAAAAUAAGCAAAGACGGAGACCCUGUCACAAAGCAGAGAAGGCUAAGGAGACAUGACAACUAAACAUAACGUCCUGGAUUGUACCCUGGAACAUAAAAGACAUAGGAAAAAACUAGUGAACUCUGAAUAAAAUGUGGAGAGCUCCGCAGACUUUUGGCUAAGAUCAAAUGGGAAUAAAAUGAGUUCAGUUAAAAGUAAUGUACCAGUGAUGGCUUCUUAGUGUGACAAACGUACCAUAGUAAUGUAACACAUUAAUAACAGGGAAACUGGGUGUGUGAAGGAUAUAGGGGAACUCUCUGCACUGUCUUUCCAACUUUUCUGUAAAUAAAAAACUAUUAUAACACAAAAA
Molecule: long non-coding RNA, 944 nt
Organism: Orcinus orca (killer whale)
Lineage: Eukaryota; Metazoa; Chordata; Mammalia; Artiodactyla; Delphinidae
Exons: 3
Source: RefSeq, a predicted model, not a curated record